This 71-nucleotide transfer RNA is filed under the name bacterium. RNAcentral's name for it is "tRNA-Gly". It matches the Rfam family "tRNA". From Rfam's summary of the family: Transfer RNA (tRNA) molecules are approximately 80 nucleotides in length. Their secondary structure includes four short double-helical elements and three loops (D, anti-codon, and T loops). The record is from RNAcentral.
GCGGGAUUAGUAUAGUGGCAGUACGCAACCUUCCCAAGGUUGAGGUGAGGGUUCGAUUCCCUUAUCCCGCU